UACUCGGCUAUUUCCGUAACCGCAAAUAACUUACCGGUUACGGAAAAAGACGAGCGCGUGAUCCGAUAGUCUAAAUGUAGGUCACCUACACGUUUGUCAAUACAGUGUUCUACGAGACAAGUGGGGAGUAAAACAGCUUGUUGACCUAAGCUAGUGUAGCAGCCAAUUUCUACAUUUAAAUUUUUGCGCCAAUUUGUACACGUUAUCCGCGCGCUACGUCAUAGUUUUUAGGGCACAUAUAUUUUUUUGUGUAAGCACGAGCUCGCUGCGAAGAAUGUGAGUAUUAUGUUCCUGUUUCACUGGACAUUGUACUGAACUGCCGUUUCCUAGAGAAACUACUUAUUCGUAUAUCGUAUGAAGUUGAGGAAGUCACAUGAUGCCAAUCAUUGACUUAAGAAUAAAUUUUCCAGGCAUACGC
Molecule: long non-coding RNA, 418 nt
Organism: Ostrea edulis (European flat oyster)
Lineage: Eukaryota; Metazoa; Mollusca; Bivalvia; Ostreida; Ostreidae
Exons: 2
Source: RefSeq, a predicted model, not a curated record